AAGUCGUAACAAGGUUUCCGUAGGUGAACCUGCGGAAGGAUCAUUAAUAAAAAAUUCAUCCGUGAUUGCUUGUCAAUCUGGAGAAUUCAAAUCCAUAUACACCUUUUGUGCACUGUAGAGUAGGAUUGAAGCUUAAAACCCUUCUAACCUAUUUGUAAAAUCAAUUUACGCUUAUAAUAUUUUUGACUGAAUCUGAAUAAAAUUUAAAACAAAAAACAACUUUCAACAACGGAUCUCUUGGCUCUC
RNAcentral lists this unclassified non-coding RNA (246 nucleotides) under Phylloporus sp. RNAcentral's name for it is "partial contains small subunit ribosomal RNA, internal transcribed spacer 1, and 5.8S ribosomal RNA". The stretch from base 1 to 46 matches the Rfam family "Eukaryotic small subunit ribosomal RNA", at positions 1786 to 1831 of the family's 1831-position model. Lineage: Eukaryota; Fungi; Basidiomycota; Agaricomycetes; Boletales; Boletaceae. The record is from RNAcentral.